UGGAUUCCUUUUUUUUUUCCCUAUAACAGCUCUAUCAAGCUAUAAUUCACAUGCCUUAAAAUUCACCUUUUUUGAAAUGUACAACUGAGUGAUUUGUAAUAUAUUCACAGAGUUGUGCAAUCUUAACAACUACUUAAUUCCAGAACAUUUACAUCACUUCAAAGAAACCCCAUACCCUAUAGCAGUCACUCCCAAUUCUCUUCUUCCACCCAUUCCCUGGAAACCACUAAUCUACUUUCCGUCUCUUUGGAUUUAACUACUCAGGACAUUUUAUAGUCAGCACGUAAGCCGGACUGUCUAGGAAAACCUCCCCUUCCUGUGUCUGGAGGUGUUGAAAAAAAUAAUUCAACAAUGCUGCCCCUGCUGGCCACCAGUGUACCAUGCAAUAAUUCCAUGGCCCCUGCCACAGCCCAGGAAAUGGAGGAAAUGGCCAGGCAGAAAUCAAAACCCUUAAAUCACUAGACAUGCUGAAGAAGAGAAUGUUGGGACUACAUUAUUUCAUGGACAGAAGAAACAUGAACUUUUUACUUGGGUAGUGGCAUAACCAGCCUCUCUUGGCCUAGAAGGAAUUGCAUGGAGCAAGAAAGGUGGACACCUGUCUGAAUUGAGUGAUUGAUCCACACAGGGGUCCCGUGGCUGGAAAACAAAUGCCCUGGAUAUUAGCUGGCUCUUAUCCAAAAGUUCUAAAGCCUUUUCCUAUCCAAGGGAAGCCACAUUUCUCCCCAGGUACAGCAAUUUCCAAUUACUUUAAGAGGAGGAAGAAAUAGAGGAAAUUUCACAAAACGACAGCCAGGCCUCUCUGGGAGGCUUGUCCUGAAUGCUCCUCACCUCUGAGCUCCUUGUGUACUGCCCACCCACAGACUCCUUUAUGAAGUUCAGCCAGCAAAGCCCCCAGCCCCCAGAGGGAAAUGGCCUAAUUAAAAUCACACUUCACACUGCCAAAUUGGAUAUGCUAGUCUCAGCUCCAAGAAUGUCUUGGAAAAGUAUCUGGAGUUGAGUGAGUCUUUCCCAGAAGGGAUUUUUUUGUUGUUGUUGUAACAAAUGGCAAAUUCAGCAGAUGGAGGGAAGAGGAAUCUUGGUUUGAAAUUUUCUGCUGGUCCAUGGUUCACUUCUCUUGCUUUCUUUCUAUGCCCCUGUUUCUUGUCAUAUGUUAUUGGACUUCCAUCUCCUCCUUUUACAUGAAUCUUGCCAGGAUGACAAGAUGAAAUAUUUAUCAUCAAACACCGCAUCUGUGUAGCACAGAGAUAAAGCAUAAGAGAAUUAGACACAGCAAAGCUUGUGUUUGAUUUCUGACCUUUCUUUUGAAAGCUGGGCAAGGUACUUCAUUAUUGAAAUCACAUUUUCCCUAUAUGUGAAAUGGGGAUAGUAAAUGCCCCACACAAUUGUAAUGUGGUUGACACAUUCUGAGUAGUAGAGAAAUGAUAGCUAUUAUUAUUAUAAUUAUCAGAUUUAUUUGUAGUAUCAGAGUAUUAUCAAUAGAUAACUUGAGCAAGACAUUAAAAUAUUAUCAAUUAUCCUUGAGUGUUUUGCCAUUAGCUAACUAUUGGAUCUUAGAAAAGUAGUUUUGGCUCCAUGAGCCUCAAUGUUGUCGUCUAUAAAAAGAGGAAUUUUGAAUAGCCAAUAUGUAAGAACUCUUCCGGCUCUAAUGCUCUACAAUUCACGCUAACCAAGAUUGACAUUCAUUGUUCACUUACUCACUUAUUCAAAUAUUUCAAUAAAAUUCAAUGUUUAUUCAGUCCAUACUGUGUACUAUACACUAUAUUCAGCAACCUACAUAGAUUAACUCACGAAGUCCUCAUAACAACACAACUUAUGAUCCAAAAAUAUCUUUUGUUUCAAAGUUUGCUGAAAGUCUUAUUCUCCUCUAUUCAAUCUAUGCUCUUUGACAUAAAGAUAAUAAUUUUAAAUCAAAGUUCUUAACUGCAUAAUAAAAGAGAAAAUAAUAACCAAUAUUUAUUAAAUUAGGUGCCUUUUAUGUGCCAGACACUGUGCUCAAUUAUUGGCACACUGUGUUGGACACAUCUUCUGUGUCAUAUUGGGUUCUCUUAGUGCUAAUCCCUUCUGGACCUCAAAAUGCUGGUAGCAUUUUAGACCUCAGUAGCUCUAAGUGUCAUUUCAAAAUUUCAUAAUCCCCUUAAUGAUUACCAACAGUUGAGCACCUACUGUUUACCUGGAAUAAUGAUGGUCAUUUCACAUAAAGCUUCAACUCCUUGAGACAUCAUGAGGAACUGUUAUUAUCCUAUUUCAUAAAGAAGGAAACUAAGACUCAGAGUAGCUAAGUAAUUUGUCCAAGGGCUUAUAGCUUUGGGAUUUGAACUCAAUUCUGUCUGAUUCUGGAACACAUGCUAAUUGUCAAAUUCGUAGUCACAAAAAACGGGUCACAGGUACACUCUGGAACAAGCGCUAUAGGGUACCUGUGACCCAUUUUCUGUGACUAAGAAUUUGACACCUUGUAGUAUUUGAAGCAUCUCUCAUGAAGCUUGCCUCUUCACCUUGUCAUGGUGCAGAAAUAAAGUAACUGGCCAAUUAAUUAAUAAAGGUAGAAUUCAGCAUAAGAAGUUUUACUUCAUUUAGACAACCUAAAAUUUAGAUCUGAAAUAAUGUUUUUUCUAGUUAUAAAAGCAAUAUGUAUUCAUUUUUAAACUUUUAGAAAAUCACAAAGAAGAGCGUAAAAGUUAUGCAUCAUCUUACAUCUAUGAAAAACAUAGCUAACAUUUCUUUUUCUGAAUUACUUAAUGGUUAGGUGCUCAAAUUAUGGAGUCAGACAGGCUUAGGUUCAAAUUCCAGCUCAGGCAAUUAAUUGCUAGAUGGAUUUGCAUAGAGAGGAUUCAUUUUCUGUUUGUUACAAAUUACUUCACUUUUAAAAUUAAAAAUAGUAGCCAACACUUCUAUAUUUACUUUGUGCCAGGUAAUCUUCUAACGCUUCAUAGAUAUAGCUUAUUUAAUUUUUACAAAAAAUCUUAUAGUGUGGAAAUGAAUGUUGUCUCCCCUUUGCCAAUGAGGAAACUGAGACAAAGAAAAGUAAAGUAAUUUCCAAAAUCACAUAGCAAAAAUGUUGUAGGGCUGGAAUUUGAAUCCAAGGUUUCUGACUCCACAACCUAUGUUCUCAAACAUUAAUGACACUGUUGCUGGUAUUGUUUAAUAUUAUUUCUUUAAUGAUUUUUAUUUUACAAAAUUAGAAUCAUAUUGAACAUAUUGUUUUGUUAUCUGCUUUCCUCAUUUAACAAUAUGCCUUCAACUUGUUUCCAGGUCAUUAAAUACUUUUAGGGAAUACAAUUUUUUGAUGUCUGUGUGGUAUUCAGUGAAUGCCUAAAAUGUAAUUAACUUAGCCAAAUCUCUAUCAUUAAGCAUUUUGGAUGUUUGUGAUUUUUCACUGUAAUAAACAAU
This 3387-nucleotide long non-coding RNA is filed under the name Homo sapiens (human). RNAcentral's name for it is "HSALNT0154519". The record is from RNAcentral. Lineage: Eukaryota; Metazoa; Chordata; Mammalia; Primates; Hominidae.